ACAAAAACAAGAUACCCUAGAGAGAGCGGGUGGUAUAGGCAACAAGAGAAGAGACCUUCAAAACUUUCUAAUCGGUAUCUCAGAGAAAAGUAGCAUGUAGAAGAGGAGGAGUAGGAGGAACAAAAGUUGGAAGGAGGGACAGAGAGUGGAGGAGGAGGAAGAAGCAACACGGCAUGCUCACCCCAAAACUCAGGCUCCUCUGCUCUUUGAAAUGUACCUUGACUGACGCACCUGGCAAAGGUGUGCUCGCAGACGCCAUCCGUACCCCUGCAAUCGCAUCCCUGGAGAUGCGCCCUAGACCAACUCCCGGAGACGCCAUCCGUACCCCUGCAAUCGCAUCCCUGGAGAUGCAGCCUAGACCAACUCCCGGAGACGCCAUCCGUACCCCUGCAAUCGCAUCCCUGGAGAUGCAGCCUAGACCAACUCCCGGACAAGCAGGCCACGAAUACGCAAGAAGGUGUUUCCUGCAGUACCGUCUGUAAUAACAAACACGGACAAAAUCCAACAUCCAUCAAGGUUCCAGAUGCAGGAAAAUCAGAGGAUAGAGGAAUCAGCUGAGCAGGACUGUAAGGAGACCAUCCAACAAAUCCGGACUGUGGACAUGCAAGGGAAGAGGUCCAGCCACUUCAACAAAUCAGUGUGUUUGGGAGGAAGAGGGGGAGGGGCAAUUAUUCUAGAAAAAGAGGGAUGUUCUUGCCUGGAUCUUGUUUUGAACAAACCAGAUAUGCAAACUAUGUGGGGGACAACUGAGGAAACUUAAAUACAGACUGUGAAAUUAUUCGUUGAGUUAGGUGUGAUAUUGGUAUUGCAGUUAUGUAAGAGAAUGUCAUUUUUAGAAAGGAGCACUCAAGUAUUUAGAGGUGAAGCUUUGGGGUGUAUAAAAUUUAACUUUUAAAUGCUUUAUAAAUAUAUUAAAUACAUAUUAUAUUUAAUAUGUAUAUAUAAGGCUUAUAUAUAAAGCAAAUAUGGGAAAAUAUUAAAAUUAUUCAAUGUAGGUUA
Long non-coding RNA from Bubalus bubalis (water buffalo), 999 nucleotides. RefSeq lists it as uncharacterized. The transcript has 3 exons. The record is from RefSeq and is a predicted model, not a curated record. NCBI's taxonomy places the organism in Eukaryota, Metazoa, Chordata, Mammalia, Artiodactyla, Bovidae.